RNAcentral lists this ribosomal RNA (494 nucleotides) under uncultured bacterium. RNAcentral's name for it is "partial 16S ribosomal RNA". It matches the Rfam family "Bacterial small subunit ribosomal RNA", at positions 28 to 507 of the family's 1533-position model. The record is from RNAcentral.
GACGAACGCUGGCGGCGUGCUUAACACAUGCAAGUCGAACGGUGAAGCGCCUUCCUUUUUGGUGGGUGUGGAUGAGUGGCGAACGGGUGAGUAACACGUGAGUAACCUGCCCCCUUCUUCUGGAUAACCGCAUGAAAGUGUGGCUAAUACGGGAUAUUCUGGGUCUGUCGCAUGAUGGGUCUGGGAAAGAUAUUGUUUCGGUGGGGGAUGGGCUCGCGGCCUAUCAGCUUGUUGGUGGGGUGAUAGCCUACCAAGGCGGUGACGGGUAGCCGGCCUGAGAGGGUGGACGGUCACACUGGGACUGAGACACGGCCCAGACUCCUACGGGAGGCAGCAGUGGGGAAUAUUGCACAAUGGGCGCAAGCCUGAUGCAGCGACGCCGCGUGAGGGAUGGAGGCCUUCGGGUUGUGAACCUCUUUCGCCAGUGAAGCAGGCCUGCCUCGUUUGUGGGUGGGUUGACGGUAGCUGGAGAAGAAGCGCCGGCUAACUACGUG